RNAcentral lists this unclassified non-coding RNA (234 nucleotides) under plant metagenome. RNAcentral describes it as "partial contains small subunit ribosomal RNA, internal transcribed spacer 1, and 5.8S ribosomal RNA". The record is from RNAcentral.
UUUCCGUAGGUGAACCUGCGGAAGGAUCAUUCCUGAGUGAGGGCCCUCUGGGUCCAUCCUCCCAAUCGUCUUUUUUUUACCUUGUUUCUUCGGUGAGUCCGCCUUACGGCCGCCGGUAGGCAUCUUGUUCCGUGCCCGCGCUCGCCGAGGACAUCCUUGAACUCUGUCUGAAGUUUGUAGAUUUUGCGAGAACUAAAUAAGUUAAAACUUUCAACAACGGAUCUCUUGGUUCCG